Molecule: long non-coding RNA, 1323 nt
Organism: Papaver somniferum (opium poppy)
Lineage: Eukaryota; Viridiplantae; Streptophyta; Magnoliopsida; Ranunculales; Papaveraceae
Exons: 2
Source: RefSeq, a predicted model, not a curated record
UCUUCGCACAUAAAUCAUGAAAGAAACUACUCAACAUUUGGAUUGCGAGCCAGUACUAGAUUAAGGACAUUUUUUAAUGAUUUUUAUCAAGAAAAUCAUUAAAAAAAUGUCAUCUCAGACCAGUACUAGAUUAAGGUCAUCUCAGAUCGAGUUGGUAACUUCAUGGUGCUGUCCACAUCAAUCGAAUAACGUCUGCUGAAAUCGCAUAGGUUUAUCUAGCCUAAAUCACACAGCAGGAUCCCCAGAGCUCGCAGCGAGACCAGAUAAGAAUAGGCUUCGGAAGCAUUCAGCGCGUACCAUCAUCUUGGACAGCAUACUAGAAGAGGAUAAGCCUCAUAUUUCUAUCCCUGAUCUUCAUAAAUAAAUUCAUUUUGAUCUCAUCCUAUAAUUUACACAUGCUUAUAGGAAUACAUGAGACUUAUCAAUGUCCAUAUGCUGCUUCCUGCUUAGUGCUUACCGCUAUAAUCCAAGCCUCUUAGCUUGCUGAAUAUACUAGGAGCUAAUGACCCAGUAGCAUGUUUAUAUACCUUGAUUCCGUCGUUAACGUAUACAUGCCUUUUUCACAUAUAUGGUUCAGCUUCGCCAAACAUUCAUGAGUACCGUCACAUGGUAGUUGUCCAUGCACAAAGAGGGUUUUCUGAACUAAAAGCUUGUUCUCUGGAUUUUUCACUUGAUAUUUUUAAUGAUUUUUAGGGAAAACUUGCAGCAUCCUCUUUCAUAUGUUGAACUUGGUCUUCGCACUGCUUGAUUUUAUCAUCCUUCGUUGCAAGGAGUGCAAAGAGUUCUUCUAUCCUCAUCAGAAAGUCUGCGGUUACGUUGUCUUUUUAAUUUCCUCUUCAGAACUUCGUCAUAAAUUUCAUUUCAUCAGGUGUGACCUCUGCCACAAUGCCUUGCUCAUGCAUCUCGACCAUUUUGUCCUGAACAUGGGUUAUCUUGUUUGCUUAGAAGAAACUACAAUGGAAGAGAGCACAUCAGUAUUCUGGGAUCGCGUUCUUCAAUUUUUUGUCAGCUCAAAUGGUAAUGAUCAAGGAAGAACGACACAAUGUCUAUCAGAAAGGUUCGGGGACAUACGGUUUUGUUGUUCACGAUAUAAAAAAAUAUUGAGGGGAUUCAACAUGGAUCAUGAAGCUGCAACUUUUGGAUAUGUUGCAUCUGUAGGGCGAGAAUUCAAAUUCACGGAGGCUUAUGAAAUUAUCAAUGGAAAUGUUUUGGGUUUGUAUUAAACUUGCAUUAAGGAAAUAAUAAGUUCUCUAUUGAUUAUGAUUAUGAGAAACACUAGUGCAAACUGAAUUCCAACUGGGCAGCUAUCAAAUUUUCCUGUCA